RNAcentral lists this transfer RNA (90 nucleotides) under Candidatus Curtissbacteria bacterium. Its description in RNAcentral is "tRNA-Ser". It matches the Rfam family "tRNA". Rfam says of the family: Transfer RNA (tRNA) molecules are approximately 80 nucleotides in length. Their secondary structure includes four short double-helical elements and three loops (D, anti-codon, and T loops). Further hydrogen bonds mediate the characteristic L-shaped molecular structure. tRNAs have two regions of fundamental functional importance: the anti-codon, which is responsible for specific mRNA codon recognition, and the 3' end, to which the tRNAs corresponding amino acid is attached (by aminoacyl-tRNA synthetases). tRNAs cope with the degeneracy of the genetic code in two manners: having more than one tRNA (with a specific anti-codon) for a particular amino acid; and 'wobble' base-pairing, i.e. permitting non-standard base-pairing at the 3rd anti-codon position. Lineage: Bacteria; Candidatus Curtissiibacteriota. The record is from RNAcentral.
GGAGAGGUCGCCUAGUGGCCUAUGGCGCUUGCUUGGAAAGCAGGUUUACGCGUAAGCGUAUCGGGGGUUCGAAUCCCCCUCUCUCCGCCA